GGCGAUUUAGCUCAGCGGCAUAGCACCUGCUUUGCAAGCAGGCGGUCGUGAGUUCAAUCCCUG
This 63-nucleotide transfer RNA is filed under the name Cavia porcellus (domestic guinea pig). It matches the Rfam family "tRNA", at positions 1 to 62 of the family's 71-position model. From Rfam's summary of the family: Transfer RNA (tRNA) molecules are approximately 80 nucleotides in length. Their secondary structure includes four short double-helical elements and three loops (D, anti-codon, and T loops). Lineage: Eukaryota; Metazoa; Chordata; Mammalia; Rodentia; Caviidae. The record is from Rfam by way of RNAcentral.